UACAUAGGGGGCGAGCGUUAUCCGGAAUUAUUGGGCGUAAAGCGCGUGUAGGCGGCCCGUUAAGUCGACUGUGAAAUCCCAGGGCUCAACCCUGGAACUGCAGCCGAUACUGGCGGGCUUGAGGUAGCUAGAGGAGAUUGGAAUUCACAGUGUAGCGGUGGAAUGCGCAGAUAUUGGGAGGAACACCAAUGGCGAAUUCAGCUCUCUGGAGCUCACCUGACGUUGAGGCGCGAAAGCAUGGGUAGCAAACAGG
This 253-nucleotide unclassified non-coding RNA is filed under the name uncultured Nitriliruptoraceae bacterium. Its description in RNAcentral is "contains 16S-23S intergenic spacer region". It matches the Rfam family "Bacterial small subunit ribosomal RNA", at positions 524 to 776 of the family's 1533-position model. Lineage: Bacteria; Bacillati; Actinomycetota; Nitriliruptoria; Nitriliruptorales; Nitriliruptoraceae. The record is from RNAcentral.